This is a non-coding RNA of Pectinophora gossypiella (pink bollworm), 72 nucleotides long. The record is from the annotation of a RefSeq genome assembly. NCBI's taxonomy places the organism in Eukaryota, Metazoa, Arthropoda, Insecta, Lepidoptera, Gelechiidae.
GCCUCUUUGGUCCAGUGGUUGAGCGUUGAACUCAAGAUCCGGAGGUCCCGGGUUCGAAUCCCGGAGGGGACA